RNAcentral lists this long non-coding RNA (1173 nucleotides) under Spirodela polyrhiza (greater duckweed). RNAcentral describes it as "long non-coding RNA (SPOL_LNC001713)". Lineage: Eukaryota; Viridiplantae; Streptophyta; Magnoliopsida; Alismatales; Araceae. The record is from RNAcentral.
ACUGUAAUCACAGUCGCCGGUGGCGGCGCUAUACGACGAACUGCGACCCACAGACUCCAUUUGCACCGCUGAGACCUCAACUAGGGCAUCGCCGUCAUUACCACCAUUACCAUCAGCAUCAUCCGCAGGAGCAGCAGCGGCGGCGGCGGCGGCGGCAGCUUCACCAUCUUCCUCUUCAUUGAGCGGGCUAGGGGUUUCUCUGUCAGAGGCGUAUCUCCUGCUCGACUUCGCCGAGUUUCUUGCUGCCGAUCGACGCCUCCGUCGGGUUCCGGCGCCGCCCCCGGCUGUUUCGGAGGAUCUCAAAAGCCUCAGACGAAGCCCUCUGGUUGUGGAACCGGGAAGCUGCUGCUGCUCCUGCUGCUGUUCCUCCUCCGGCGAGCUCGCCGGACGGUCUCCCUCGUCACCGGCGACCCAAUUCGCCGGCGACGGGAGCUCGGCACUCGUACGGAUGAGUCUGCCGUUUGAUCGACUCGAAAGGUCGGAUCUUUUGGACAUCGCCCACCGUCUUUUGAUCUGUUCUUGGGCAGUCAACGAGAUUUCCUCUUUGAGCUCGCCUCCCAUGGCCUGGAGAAUCUGACCAGCAUGCAAUGGAUUCAGGUCAAAGAAUCGAAAUCAGCAUGCAUAGAAGAACCAUCCAUCGGCCGGUGAAUUUAUUUAUCUUGAAUAGUUUCCCGUCUCGGAUCAAUAAAAAUGUUUCACGUAAUUUCAAAAUAGUCAACGGAGCGCUGAAUAAAGGAGCAGAGAUUAUUAAUUUUUCUUUCAGGCCGCUGUAUGAUGAACUGGAAUGGAGAUCUGAGAACAGUGAAGGGAAGAGCGAAGAUACCUUUCCCGUCCGCCGCAAGAACGAUCUCCUCUUCCUGCCAUGAACCUUCCCCUUGGAGCUCCUCCAGUGCUUUAAUGGCGAACCAGCUUCCUCUCCGGGGAACCUGCUCCUCGCAUCUCGGAGCUCGAGCCUCAGCCUCUUUCGCGGGGAGAAAUCGAAAUCCAGCUGCGGCGCCGCCGCCGCCGCCGCCGCCGCCGGCGCAGCCUCCCCGAGCUUGGACAAGAUGCGCACCUUCGUGCCGUCGGGCUCCACAUACACCGGCCGCUCACCGGCGGUGACCGGCGGAGGAGGAAGCUCCGCCGGCGACCUUAUUAGAGCGAGAUCCACAGACCAGCUGGUGCCGUUCCUCC